Triticum aestivum (bread wheat) is the source of this 1966-nucleotide long non-coding RNA. RefSeq lists it as uncharacterized. The transcript is spliced from 2 exons. The record is from RefSeq and is a predicted model, not a curated record. Lineage: Eukaryota; Viridiplantae; Streptophyta; Magnoliopsida; Poales; Poaceae.
CCCCCUCUUAGGCGUCUCGUCCUGCGCUCUGUCUACUAUAAAAUGAGAGUCCGAUCUCAUCUAUAGGACCACAAGCGGCAAGACAUUCUACGACCACCGGCCAGCGGCGGCGCGGCGGCAAGGGCGGCAAUACAGGACCACCGGCCACCGUCGGCGCGGCAGCAAGACAAGACCACCGGCGGGGCAAGACAAGAGCAGAGGGACGCAGAUCUCCCUCAGAGACUCCACAUCCAUCCAUCCAUGGGGGCGGUGUUCUCCCAAUCCCAAGGCAACGGCGUCGACAUAGAAGGAGGCCCGACCAGCGUAGGCCACAUGCGUCUGUCACUGCUACCGUUUGCUCCGCCACCGGAUGUAGCGCAGCUAGCGUACGCGCUGUUGGUGCUGGGCUACCUCACGUUUCUCCUGGCCCUGACCACCGUGCUCCACCUGCCGGCCGCAGCCCGCGGGGCCGGUCUUUGGCCGCUGCGCUGCGGCCUACUACGCGAUUCUGAUGAUCAUCUUAGCCGUCUUUGUGCCGGUGGAGCUGGGGACCGCGCUCGCGCUCUGCCUCGCGCGCCAAAGCAGCCAGGGCCGCCUCCCCGCCUUCGCCAAGGGCCUCCUGCUCUGCGCCCACGUGCUCUUCCUCGUUGUCAUCGCCAUAAUGGGUACUCGGUUCAUCACCUUUAAGAUCUGAUCUUACCUACUCCAGGGUUAGUCGAUUGGUCCGGUCGAUCCGCGGUUCAUUUGUAUUCUGUCAAAUUUCGUCGGUGAUGUCGGUGGUUAUAUGCUUACUUGUUUAUUCUAGGCACAUAUGCUGUAGAUAUUCUGUUUCUAGAUACUUUGGAAGAGAUGUUGUGUUUGUUAGAGUUGUGUCGAAUAUUAUUGUACAAGUUAGGUUACAGUUGGACUUGAAGUCGUACUGUGUGUAGACAGGGUAGGAGUUGUGUCCUAAUAGGACACUUGUAUCCUAGGCCUCUCAUAUAUAGUGGGGUAGACAUACGAUGUAACCUAUGCAAACAUAAUAGCACGGGCACGCGGGGAGCCGGCGGCGUGUGCCAGCGCCCGGGCGGCCGAGGUGCGGUAUUGUGACAGUGUCAUGGGAAGGAGCGCCCGUAGUCAUGCCCCGGGGAUGUAGCCAUAUCGGUGAACCUCGUUAACAAAUCUCGGUGUCGUGCCUCGUGUGAUUGCUUGGUCCUCGGUAGAUCGACAGAGUGCCUCAGAUUAUUCUAACAAGUGGUAUCAUGAGCAAGGUUACGAUGAGGUUGCGGAUUCGUUGAUUUAGAGGAUGGAUCGUGGUCGAGCUCGGCGCAAAGACGAUCUCCGGAAGUGAUUGUUCUGUGGAGGUCGUACGGUGCGCUGUCAACGAGAUCGGGUAGAAGCAAUCGGGAAUCGAGCGGAGCCUACGGCGUGAGCCAUUGAUGAGGUGUAUCGAUCAGGCGAGCGUAUGGAUGGCGGAAUCGUGCAACAGCAGCAUAGAUCGAUUCGAUCGAUUGGAAGCGGCGCCGGUGUAACGUGGAACGCUUGCGCUGUCCAGGAGUGGCUCGGACUGGAAACCUAUAGCGUGUGUUGGGUUGUGGCCCAUGAAGACGUGGCCCGCUAGGUGGCUUGCAGGCGUUCAAUGGCCCAUUGGGGUGCACAUUGGUGGUGCUGUGUUUUGCUCAGAGCGGGCGUAUAGGUCUACGAACGAGCGCCAAAGUGACUGAGGCUGAGGUGCAUUGAAGCCAGGAAAGAGCAGCCGUGAGAUUUGUUGGAUAAAAAAAAGGCGUCAGAGAAUACCAUGAUGCGUGCAUUGAUGAAGAGCAGGAAAGAUAAAUCAAGUCUACGGUAGCCAGGUGUGGUGGACGUGGAAUUCUUUACACGGAGAAGGCUACAAGGGAUGUUGUUUUGACUUUCUUUGCUUUGUACAUGGGUUGUACGAGAUGGCAGCAUGAAGGUGUGUCAAGACGUGGCGUCGCAUGUUCAUAUAAGAUCAACAGGAGUUGGCGGG